This 3200-nucleotide long non-coding RNA is filed under the name Mus musculus (house mouse). RNAcentral's name for it is "long non-coding RNA chr6:22036707-22039907". Lineage: Eukaryota; Metazoa; Chordata; Mammalia; Rodentia; Muridae. The record is from RNAcentral.
GGUAUGGGGGACUUUUGGGAUAGCAUUGAAAAUGUAAACGAGGAAAAUAUCUAAAAAAAAAAAAACAACGUAUUAUUAAUAUUACUGGGUGAUCGAGCCGGAUGUGAUGGCGCACAACUUUAAUCCCAGCACUCUGGAGGCAGAGACAAGCAGAUUUCUGAGUUCGAGGCCAGCCUGGUCUACAAAGUGAGUUCCAGGACAGCCAGGGCUACACAGAGAAACCCUGUCUCAAAAAACCAAAAAGAAAAAGAAAAAAAUUACUGGGUGAGCAGCAGUUUUCUGUUUAGGUUCUUAUUCCUGUUAAUAAAAUAACUUAGAAAUGGACUCAGAAGGAAGCUGAAGAACAAUUUCAUUAGAGUUUUAAAGGGAAAAGUGCAGUCAGACAAGCUGUAAUCUUGGCAGCUGCCCAGAGAAGGGAGACUAAGAAAAAAAGGAGAGAGAAAACCCUGCUGUUUUCUGUAUCUAUUUGUAGUCACAGGGUAGAAAGGAGUGGAGGUUGGGAGUACAAUCAGAGACUAGGUGAGAACGUCCAGGGCAGAGGAGAGCAUGCCCAGGCUUUACUCAGUGUCCAGAAACCAAAAGAGAUAACAACAAUAACAACAACAAAUAAUAAUAACAACAAUAAUAAUAAUAGGCAAUGUUAGGACUCAGGGAAGGCAGGCAGCCUGCAUGGUGGAGGCUUCACAGUGCUGCCUGACUUCACUGGUUAGUGUUUUAACAACUCCACCCAAGCUGCAGUCAUCUGAGAAAAGAAAAGCCCAACUGAAAAAUGUCAGAUUGGACAUUUUUCUUGAGCAAUCAUCGAUGUGUCAAGGACCAGUUCACUGUGGCCUGUGCCACCCCUGUGUGGGUCGCCUAGGUGUUAGUCACAAGCAAGCUGAGCACAUGGUCACAAGGAAGAAUAAGCCUGAAGGUACCAUUCCCCUGGGACCUCUGCUUCAAUCCCUGCCUCCAGGUCCCUACCUCGAUUUCCCUCAGUGAUGGAGAGUAACUUGUAAGCAGAAACAAACUCUUUCCUUCUCAAGUUGGCUCUGGUCCUGGUGUGUCACAGCAAUAGAAAGCAAACUGCAAGCAGUUGCAAGGGGGAGGCACAACAGAGAAGGAUACACACACCAUCUCAUUAACAAAUAAUUAUCUUCUUAUCUUCUUAGCAUGGCUUUAGUCUCCUGGGGGCAAUCUUCUGGCCAAGUGAUUGAUUGGCAGGGCAAGCCAGAUUAACUCUUAGGGGAGGAGAGACUAGUAAUUAAUAUUUUAAUCGUUGGAGCAGGAUAUUAUGCCUCCAGCCAGAGAUAGAGUCCAUUCUUUUUGUUUUGUUUUGCUUUUUUUGGUUCUGUUUUGUUUCCGAGACAGGGUAACACUGUGUAGCCUUUGCUAGUCUGACGUUAACUGUCAAACUGACUUGGCCCCAACUCAUAGAAAUUUGCCUGCUCUGCCUCAAGAGUGCUCGAUUAAAGGUGAUUCUGUUCUUUUAACUAGAAAGAAGUUGCUUUCGCAUAAUGGAAAAUUCGCAUGGGGGAUUUGUCCACAGCUUGCUGACACACACCCUCAUAGCCUCUAAGACUACUGCCGUAUAAGAUACGACUAAAAUCAUUUAGAGGAUGAACUGGGAUUGGGGAAUAAAUAUCAUCUAUUUUCACCAUGAAAUCUAGAGAUCCAGUUCCUAAGUUGUUCAGAAAAAGAGCUCUGUAGAUUGCAGCCUUACACACAGGGGUUUGAGACAGUGGUUCUCAUUCAAGGAAAGAGAAAUAGGGACCCUGAACUCCCUCCUUGCUAUCCCUGGCCUCUGGACUGGCCACUUUCAAAGGAUUUACCAGUUUCUGCCCAAGAAGAAUAGACCUGCUACUUUUGUGGUCCCUCCCCUGGACUACCUGUGCCAUGUCUGCCUCUCGUCCUUCUUGUUAGUAUAUGUGGGUUUCUGCCUAACUGAAAGCACUGAACAGCUUUCAGCUUAUUUCCUCUAGAGAUUGUUGUUACUCGGACAUUUUAAACACCAUGACCUUUAAUUUAAUUUUUUUCAAUAUAACUUCUAGGUUUUUUAAAAAAUUUAUAUAUUCACUUUACAUCCUGGUUCCAGGCCCUCCAGUCCCUCCUCUUCGCCCAAUCUUUGUUCUCCUUCAAGUCCCACCCAUACAACCCUUUCCCCUCAUUACCCCCCACCCUCCUAAUAUCUGGGUUUUAGUCUAAUGUGCCUUUUCUGUUCCAAGCUCCCACCCAGCGUACCACAUUACAUUUUUAUUUCCACUGCUCCUUCCUCAUUGCUUUAAGACACCACAUGCCCCCAAGCUUUCCUUGGCUGUGAGUCUGUCUCAGAAUUUCCUCCUUUUAUUCCCCCUUAUCUUGACUGUUUGGAGAACAGGUAUGCUCUUUUGCUUGGGAGCAAAAAUAACAGCAAAUAGACAUUGCUGUUAUUUUUCUCAGUGUUAGAUGGGCUACAGUGACCGGCAUAGCCACAGAGUGAAUGCACCUGCCCAUGGUCUCAGGCGCAUGCCCAGUCAGCAUGGAGCGUGGUUCAAGUGACCCUGUUUGAGUCACUGAGAUGGUCAGGUUCUCCCACUGUGAAAUCUUCGUCUAUUCUCUCUUUGCAUACUGAAGUACUGGGAAUACAAAACGUUUUUAUUAAGUGUGUGGUGGUUUGAAUGAGAUGUUUCCCAUACAUCUUGGACAUUUGAAUACUUGGUCUCAGUUGGUGGCUGUUUGGGGAAGAUUAACCAUUUGUCUCUGCUGGAGGAAAUCACUGGAGCAGGCUUUGAGGCUUCCAAAGACAGGUGCCAUUUUGUAUAAGCUCCCUCUGCUUCCCCUUUGUGAUUUAAAUGUGAAAAAUGGGGUACAGAGCUAAAGAAAGAACUCUCAACUGAGGAAUACCGAAUGGCUGAGAAGCACCUAAAAAUGUUCAACAUCCCUAAUCAUCAGGGAAAUGCAAAUCAAAACAACCCUGAGAUUCCACCUCCCACCAGUCAGAAUGGCUGAGAUCAAAAACUCAGGGGACAGCAGAUGCUGGCGAGGAUGUGGAGAAAGAGGAGCACUCCUGGGGCUGGAGAGAUGGCUCAGCGGUUAAGAGCACUGACUGCUCUUCCAAAGCCCGAGUUCAAAUCCCAGUAACCACAUGGUGGCUUACAACCAUCGGUAAUGAGAUCUGGCGCCCUCUUCUGGGGUGUCUGAAGACAGCUACAGUGUACUUAAAGCAUACAAUAGAUAAAUCU